AACCUCAUGGUACAAUGGUAGCACAUCUGACUCCAGAUCAAAAGGUUGUGUGUUCAAAUCACACUGGGGUCA
This is a non-coding RNA of Dama dama (fallow deer), 72 nucleotides long. The record is from the annotation of a RefSeq genome assembly. Lineage: Eukaryota; Metazoa; Chordata; Mammalia; Artiodactyla; Cervidae.